AGAGUUUGAUCAUGGCUCAGAACGAACGUUGGCGGCGUGGAUUAGGCAUGCAAGUCGAGCGAAUCCCAGGGGGCAACUCCUGGGGGAAGCGGCGCAAGGGGCAGUAAGGCGUGGGUAACCUACCCCGAGGACCGGCAUAGCCGCCCUAACGGGCGGGUAAUUCCGGGCGCGGUGAGCGCGGGGCAUCCCGUGCUCAUGGAACGAGUUUCGCCUCGGGAGGGGCUCACGUGGUAUUAGCUAGACGGCGGGGUGACGGCCCACCGUGGCCAAGAUGCCUAGCGGGUGUGAGAGCACGACCCGCGCCACUGGCACUGAGACACUGGCCAGACUCCUACGGGAGGCUGCAGUCGAGGAUCUUCGGCAAUGGGCGCAAGCCUGACCGAGCGACGCCGCGUGUGCGAUGAAGGCCUUCGGGUUGUAAAGCACUGUCGAGGGGGAGGAAAGCCCGCAAGGGCCUGACCUAUCCCUGGAGGAAGCACGGGCUAAGUUCGUGCCAGCAGCCGCGGUAAGACGAACCGUGCGAACGUUGUUCGGAUUCACUGGGCUUAAAGGGCGCGUAGGCGGACCAUCAAGUCGGGGGUGAAAUCUUUCAGCCUAACUGGAAAACAGCUCCCGAUACUGACGGCCUGGAGGGAGGUAGGGGCGCGUGGAACUCAGGGUGGAGCGGUGAAAUGCGUAGAUAUCCCGAGGAACGCCGGUGGCGAAAGCGACGCGCUGGACCUUUCCUGACGCUGAGGCGCGAAAGCCAGGGGAGCAAACGGGAUUAGAUACCCCCGUAGUCC
Molecule: ribosomal RNA, 782 nt
Filed under: uncultured bacterium
Lineage: Bacteria
Description: bacterial SSU rRNA
Rfam family: Bacterial small subunit ribosomal RNA
Source: RNAcentral